CCUACGGGUGGCAGCAGUGAGGAAUAUUGGUCAAUGGACGGAAGUCUGAACCAGCCAUGCCGCGUGCAGGAAGACGGCUCUAUGAGUUGUAAACUGCUUUUGUACAAGGGUAAACCUGAAUACGUGUAUUCAGCUGAAAGUACUGUACGAAUAAGGAUCGGCUAACUCCGUGCCAGCAGCCGCGGUAAUACGGAGGAUCCAAGCGUUAUCCGGAUUUAUUGGGUUUAAAGGGUGCGUAGGCGGAUUGAUAAGUUAGAGGUGAAAUGUCCGGGCUUAACUCGUGAACUGCCUCUAAUACUGUAGAUCUAGAGAGUAGAUGCGGUAGGCGGAAUGUGUGGUGUAGCGGUGAAAUGCUUAGAUAUAACACAGAACACCGAUUGCGAAGGCAGCUUACCAAUCUAUAUCAGACGUUGAGGCACGAAAGCGUGGGGAGCGAACAGGAUUAGAUACCCUUGUAGUC
RNAcentral lists this ribosomal RNA (460 nucleotides) under uncultured bacterium. Its description in RNAcentral is "partial 16S ribosomal RNA". It matches the Rfam family "Bacterial small subunit ribosomal RNA", at positions 338 to 795 of the family's 1533-position model. The record is from RNAcentral.